UCUCCGAAUGGCUCAUUUGGUUAAAGCACUGCAUUGCGGAGCAAAAGUGUCUGGGUUCGAACCCCAGUCAGAGUA
Molecule: non-coding RNA, 75 nt
Organism: Gymnothorax javanicus (giant moray)
Lineage: Eukaryota; Metazoa; Chordata; Actinopteri; Anguilliformes; Muraenidae
Source: the annotation of a GenBank genome assembly